Molecule: ribosomal RNA, 433 nt
Filed under: uncultured bacterium
Lineage: Bacteria
Description: partial 16S ribosomal RNA
Rfam family: Bacterial small subunit ribosomal RNA
Source: RNAcentral
AACGAACGCUGGCGGCAUGCCUAACACAUGCAAGUCGAACGAGACCUUCGGGGCUAGUGGCGCACGGGUGCGUAACGCGUGGGAACCUGCCCUUAGGUUCGGAAUAACUCCCCGAAAGGGGUGUUAAUACCGGAUAAUGUCUUCGGACCAAAGAUUUAUCGCCUUUGGAUGGGCCCGCGUUGGAUUAGCUAGUUGGUAGGGUAAAAGCCUACCAAGGCGACGAUCCAUAGCUGGUCUGAGAGGAUGAUCAGCCACACUGGGACUGAGACACGGCCCAGACUCCUACGGGAGGCAGCAGUGGGGAAUAUUGGACAAUGGGCGAAAGCCUGAUCCAGCAAUGCCGCGUGAGUGAUGAAGGCCUUAGGGUUGUAAAGCUCUUUUACCCGGGAUGAUAAUGACAGUACCGGGAGAAUAAGCUCCGGCUAACUCCGUG